CAACAUGUAAAUCUGGGCAAUGAUACGGAAAAAAUGACUUUUCUCCCAUAACAACAGUAAAUAAAUGAAGUUCAUGUACGCAGUCAAGGAAUCCAAAGAAACUGCAAUCUCAAGAGUUUGACAUUAGCACUGCUUUCCAGAUUCAGAGCUCAUACCUGUAGAUUCUGAUGCAGUGGAUAUGGGUUAAUGUCUGAGACUUCGCAUUUCACUGGAUACCCCUUGUGAGGCUGAGAUGCGUGCUCCAGAAAAACAAGGCUUCUACCAUGAAAACCAGCUCUUACAACAUUGCAUGUGUUAGUCACCAACAAAGGUUUGCUGAAUAAACAAAUGAGUGAAUGGCAUUGCAUUGUAUCAG
This is a long non-coding RNA of Cavia porcellus (domestic guinea pig), 355 nucleotides long. RefSeq lists it as uncharacterized. NCBI's taxonomy places the organism in Eukaryota, Metazoa, Chordata, Mammalia, Rodentia, Caviidae. The transcript is spliced from 3 exons. The record is from RefSeq and is a predicted model, not a curated record.